RNAcentral lists this ribosomal RNA (253 nucleotides) under uncultured bacterium. Its description in RNAcentral is "partial 16S ribosomal RNA". It matches the Rfam family "Bacterial small subunit ribosomal RNA", at positions 524 to 776 of the family's 1533-position model. The record is from RNAcentral.
UACGUAGGUGGCGAGCGUUGUCCGGAUUUACUGGGCGUAAAGGGAGCGUAGGCGGACUUUUAAGUGAGAUGUGGAAUACUCGGGCUCAACUUGAGUGCUGCAUUUCAAACUGGAAGUCUAGAGUGCAGGAGAGGAGAAUGGAAUUCCUAGUGUAGCGGUGAAAUGCGUAGAGAUUAGGAAGAACACCAGUGGCGAAGGCGAUUCUCUGGACUGUGACUGACGCUGAGGCUCGAAAGCGUGGGGAGCAAACAGG